UACGUAGGUGGCGAGCGUUGUCCGGAAUUACUGGGCGUAAAGGGUGCGUAGGCGGAAUAUUAAGUCAGAUGUGAAACUCCCGGGCUUAACUUGGGAACUGCAUUUGAAACUGAUAUUCUAGAGUGCAGGAGAGGGAAGCGGAAUUCCUAGUGUAGCGGUGAAAUGCGUAGAUAUUAGGAAGAACACCAGUGGCGAAGGCGGCUUUCUGGACUGUAACUGACGCUGAGGCACGAAAGCGUGGGGAG
This 245-nucleotide ribosomal RNA is filed under the name uncultured bacterium. RNAcentral's name for it is "partial 16S ribosomal RNA". It matches the Rfam family "Bacterial small subunit ribosomal RNA", at positions 524 to 768 of the family's 1533-position model. The record is from RNAcentral.